This 497-nucleotide ribosomal RNA is filed under the name uncultured bacterium. Its description in RNAcentral is "partial 16S ribosomal RNA". It matches the Rfam family "Bacterial small subunit ribosomal RNA", at positions 28 to 507 of the family's 1533-position model. The record is from RNAcentral.
GAUGAACGCUGGCGGCGUGCCUAAUACAUGCAAGUCGAGCGAACAGACGAGGAGCUUGCUCCUCUGACGUUAGCGGCGGACGGGUGAGUAACACGUGGAUAACCUACCUAUAAGACUGGGAUAACUUCGGGAAACCGGAGCUAAUACCGGAUAAUAUAUUGAACCGCAUGGUUCAAUAGUGAAAGACGGUUUUGCUGUCACUUAUAGAUGGAUCCGCGCCGCAUUAGCUAGUUGGUAAGGUAACGGCUUACCAAGGCAACGAUGCGUAGCCGACCUGAGAGGGUGAUCGGCCACACGGGAACUUAGACACGGUCCAGACUCCUACGGGAGGCAGCAGUAGGGAAUCGUCCGCAAUGGGCGAAAGCUUGACGGAGCAACGCCGAGUGAGUGAUGAAGGUCUUCGGAUCGUAAAACUCUGUUAUUAGGGAAGAACAAAUGUGUAAGUAACUAUGCACGUCUUGACGGUACCUAAUCAGAAAGCCACGGCUAACUACGUG